This 134-nucleotide microRNA precursor is filed under the name Puccinia graminis f. sp. tritici CRL 75-36-700-3. Its description in RNAcentral is "microRNA MIR807". Lineage: Eukaryota; Fungi; Basidiomycota; Pucciniomycetes; Pucciniales; Pucciniaceae. The record is from RNAcentral.
UUCCUCAUCAAUUGGAAGGGAUUCCUUCCAGUCAAUGAGGAGGCUAAACCUCAUCAACCGGAAGGGAUUCCUUCCGGUUGAUGAGUUCAAUCUUCCUCAUCGACUGGAAGGGAUCCCUUCCGGUUGAUGAGGGA